UUAUGGCAAUCGUGCUGAAGGUAUGAAAGAAUUUGGGAAUGAUUGGAGCUUUUUGCAAUAUAAAGACUUUACAUCCAUUAACAUGGUGAUCCAGUAGAGAAGAAGAGAGAUUUCCGUAGGAAAGAAACUCAGUAUGUCAAUAAAAGAAGAGUUUGCAGCAGCAAUGUUGUCACUACACAACUUGGAAUCUGGACUGCCAUCGUACAAUCUCUGAUGUCUUCUGACAACCAAAUAGGUGACCCUUAUUCCUGUGGCGUUUGUUAGUAGAUCCAACUACUUUAGCGAUGGAUACUGGUUGUCACAUUUUUGCUCUUGCUAGCAUGAAUUAUCUUACCUCCAAAAUCUUUAACAUGAGAUUCUACACUAUGGAAGAAAUUUUGUUUUAUUUCUCCUUCAUGGCCUCUCCUAGUAUACCUAUUCUCAAACGCAUUAUGACUUCUAGUCUAUGGAUGAGAAAUAUUUCUUAUGAACUGAAUUUCUUGUGAACUGAAUUCAUGUUGCUCUUCAGAGAAUGGAGUGGAUGGUGCAGAUGUAAUUGAAUUGGUCAAGUUAGAUUGAAAAAAUCAACUUUACAAAUGAACCUAGGUAAAACAAAUUAUUUUAAUCUUACAGCAUGAAGUCAAAGGUGAUCAAAUUUUUGCUAAAAAUUUAGAAUUAUAUAUUUUUGAAGGAAAAAAUGUUCAGUCACAACAUGUACUAAAGCAAGUCAAAUACAGUUGAUCCCUGAACAGCACAGGUUUGAACUACAUUGGUCUACUUAAAUGUGGAUUUUCUUCUGCCUCUGCCACCCCUGAGACAACAAGACCAUCCCCUCCUCUUCUCUCUCUUCUUCUGCCUACUCAAUUUGAAGACAAUGAGGAUGAAGUCCUGUAUCAUGAUCUGCUUCCACGUAAUGAAUAGUAAACGUAUUUUCUCCCUUAUGAC
RNAcentral lists this long non-coding RNA (924 nucleotides) under Homo sapiens (human). RNAcentral describes it as "HSALNT0358211". Lineage: Eukaryota; Metazoa; Chordata; Mammalia; Primates; Hominidae. The record is from RNAcentral.